This 467-nucleotide ribosomal RNA is filed under the name uncultured bacterium. Its description in RNAcentral is "partial 16S ribosomal RNA". It matches the Rfam family "Bacterial small subunit ribosomal RNA", at positions 28 to 506 of the family's 1533-position model. The record is from RNAcentral.
GACGAACGCUGGCGGCGUGCUUAACACAUGCAAGUCGAACGGAAAGGCCCUGCUUUUGUGGGGUGCUCGAGUGGCGAACGGGUGAGUAACACGUGAGUAACCUGCCCUUGACUUUGGGAUAACUUCAGGAAACUGGGGCUAAUACCGGAUAGGAGCUCCUGCUGCAUGGUGGGGGUUGGAAAGUUUCGGCGGUUGGGGAUGGACUCGCGGCUUAUCAGCUUGUUGGUGGGGUAGUGGCUUACCAAGGCUUUGACGGGUAGCCGGCCUGAGAGGGUGACCGGCCACAUUGGGACUGAGAUACAGCCCAGACUCCUACGGGAGGCAGCAGUGGGGAAUAUUGCACAAUGGGCGGAAGCCUGAUGCAGCAACGCCGCGUGCGGGAUGACGGCCUUCGGGUGGUAAACCGCUUUCGCCUGUGACGAAGCGUGAGUGACGGUAAUGGGGAAAGAAGCACCGGCUAACUACGU